CCAGACUCCUACGGGAGGCAGCAGUCGGGAAUAUUGCGCAAUGGAGGAAACUCUGACGCAGUGACGCCGCGUGCAGGAAGAAGGUUUUCGGAUUGUAAACUGCUUUAGAUAGGGAAGAAAAAAAUGACAGUACCUAUAGAAUAAGCUCCGGCUAACUACGUGCCAGCAGCCGCGGUAAUACGUAGGGAGCGAGCGUUAUCCGGAUUUAUUGGGUGUAAAGGGUGCGUAGAUGGAUAAACAAGUUGGUUGUGAAAUCCCUCGGCUUAACUGAGGAAUUGCAACCAAAACUGUAGAUCUUGAGUACUGGAGGGGAAAGCGGAAUUCCUAGUGUAGCGGUGAAAUGCGUAGAUAUUAGGAAGAACACCGGUGGCGAAGGCGGCUUUCUGGACAGAAACUGACAUUGAGGCACGAAAGUGUGGGGAGCAAACAGGAUUAGAUACCCCAGUA
Molecule: ribosomal RNA, 447 nt
Filed under: uncultured bacterium
Lineage: Bacteria
Description: bacterial SSU rRNA
Rfam family: Bacterial small subunit ribosomal RNA
Source: RNAcentral